CGUGUAGGCGGCCCGAUAAGUCCGCUGUGAAAGUCCAGGGCUCAACCCUGGGAUGCCGGUGGAUACUGUCGGGCUCGAAUCCGGAAGAGGUGAGUGGAAUUCCUGGUGUAGCGGUGAAAUGCGCAGAUAUCAGGAGGAACACCAAUGGCGAAGGCAGCUCACUGGGACGGUAUUGACGCUGAGACGCGAAAGCGUGGGAGCAAACA
Molecule: ribosomal RNA, 206 nt
Filed under: uncultured bacterium
Lineage: Bacteria
Description: partial 16S ribosomal RNA
Rfam family: Bacterial small subunit ribosomal RNA
Source: RNAcentral